Molecule: ribosomal RNA, 931 nt
Filed under: Shigella sonnei
Lineage: Bacteria; Pseudomonadati; Pseudomonadota; Gammaproteobacteria; Enterobacterales; Enterobacteriaceae
Description: partial 23S ribosomal RNA
Rfam family: Bacterial large subunit ribosomal RNA
Source: RNAcentral
CAGGCUGUCUCCACCCGAGACUCAGUGAAAUUGAACUCGCUGUGAAGAUGCAGUGUACCCGCGGCAAGACGGAAAGACCCCGUGAACCUUUACUAUAGCUUGACACUGAACAUUGAGCCUUGAUGUGUAGGAUAGGUGGGAGGCUUUGAAGUGUGGACGCCAGUCUGCAUGGAGCCGGCCUUGAAAUACCACCCUUUAAUGUUUGAUGUUCUAACGUGGACCCGUGAUCCGGGUUGCGGACAGUGUCUGGUGGGUAGUUUGACUGGGGCGGUCUCCUCCUAAAGAGUAACGGAGGAGCACGAAGGUUGGCUAAUCCUGGUCGGACAUCAGGAGGUUAGUGCAAUGGCAUAAGCCAGCUUGACUGCGAGCGUGACGGCGCGAGCAGGUGCGAAAGCAGGUCAUAGUGAUCCGGUGGUUCUGAAUGGAAGGGCCAUCGCUCAACGGAUAAAAGGUACUCCGGGGAUAACAGGCUGAUACCGCCCAAGAGUUCAUAUCGACGGCGGUGUUUGGCACCUCGAUGUCGGCUCAUCACAUCCUGGGGCUGAAGUAGGUCCCAAGGGUAUGGCUGUUCGCCAUUUAAAGUGGUACGCGAGCUGGGUUUAGAACGUCGUGAGACAGUUCGGUCCCUAUCUGCCGUGGGCGCUGGAGAACUGAGGGGGGCUGCUCCUAGUACGAGAGGACCGGAGUGGACGCAUCACUGGUGUUCGGGUUGUCAUGCCAAUGGCACUGCCCGGUAGCUAAAUGCGGAAGAGAUAAGUGCUGAAAGCAUCUAAGCACGAAACUUGCCCCGAGAUGAGUUCUCCCUGACCCUUUAAGGGUCCUGAAGGAACGUUGAAGACGACGACGUUGAUAGGCCGGGUGUGUAAGCGCAGCGAUGCGUUGAGCUAACCGGUACUAAUGAACCGUGAGGCUUAACCUUACAACGCCGAAG